UAGGGAAUCUUCCACAACGGACGAAAGUCUGAUGGAGCAACGCCGCGUGAGUGAAGAAGGGUUUCGGCUCGUAAAACUCUGUUGUUAAAGAAGAACAUAUCUGAGAGUAACUGUUCAGGUAUUGACGGUAUUUAACCAGAAAGCCACGGCUAACUACGUGCCAG
Molecule: ribosomal RNA, 164 nt
Filed under: uncultured bacterium
Lineage: Bacteria
Description: partial 16S ribosomal RNA
Rfam family: Bacterial small subunit ribosomal RNA
Source: RNAcentral